GACGAACGCUGGCGGCGUGCUUAACACAUGCAAGUCGAACGGAGAGGCCCUGUUUUUGUGCGGUGCUCGAGUGGCGAACAGGUGAGUAUCACGUGUGUAACCUGCGCCUGACUUUGGGAUAACUUCAGGAAACAGGGGCUCAUAUCGCAUAGGAGCUCCUGCUACAUGGUGUGGGUUGGAAAGUUGCGGCGGUUGGGGAUGGACUCGCGGCUUAUCAGCUUGUUGGUGAGGUAGUGGCUUACCAAGGCUUUGACGGGUAGCCGGCCUGAGAGGGUGACAGGCCACAAUGGGAUAGGGAAGCGGGCCAGACUCCUACGGGAGGCAUCAGUGAGAGACAGUGCGAAAUAGGCGGAAGCCGGAUGGAGCAAUGUCGCAUGCGGGAAGACUGCUUGCGGGGUGGAAACUGCGUUCGCGUGGGAAGAAGAGUGAGUGACGGUAAUGGGUAAAGAAGCAACGGCUAACUACGUG
This 468-nucleotide ribosomal RNA is filed under the name uncultured bacterium. Its description in RNAcentral is "partial 16S ribosomal RNA". It matches the Rfam family "Bacterial small subunit ribosomal RNA", at positions 28 to 507 of the family's 1533-position model. The record is from RNAcentral.